This 872-nucleotide long non-coding RNA is filed under the name Homo sapiens (human). Its description in RNAcentral is "HSALNT0295084". Lineage: Eukaryota; Metazoa; Chordata; Mammalia; Primates; Hominidae. The record is from RNAcentral.
GUUUCCAUCCUUUAGGAAGACCCUGGAACGUGCCAGUUGAUUCUGACAAUUUCUCAUGAACAGAAACACCUAGGAAGGGAGAACUGGAUUUAUUUAAUGGGGAUGUGUUCAAGGCAAGACCGAAUUCAGAAGGAUAUCGACGUCGUGAUCCAGAAGUCCAGAGCUGAGGACUGCCUGUUUGCAGGGCCCGCCUGGCAGGACGACUGAGCAAGUUCUUGGAAAACCAGAGAUAUUAGAGCGGUGAAUCGCGCUGGUCACGUUGGACACCUGCGCGUUAGGAGAUUCUGGAGCCAGAGGGAGAGACCCCAGAAACGCCCCGGUCGGCGACCCAGCCCGAGACGCCUGGGGUCCCAAGGGAAGCUGAACGCCCGGUGGGCUCCCGGGAUGGUUCUUCCGGUUCUUUGUGCCGCCUUCACCCAGUGAAGGAGCCUGUAUCCACCCUGCCCAGUCGCUGUUGGGCUGCUGCGGAGCUUCCGCUGCCAUCUUCGGAUCCUGUGUUCCGCCCGGGGCUCCACCAGGGCAGGGAUGGUGGUGAGGGUCGCUCGUGGGUCCCCUGGCAGGGAGCAGGGUCUGGCACUCACAAGGGCGCACGACUAGGACUUGUCGAAUGAAUCCCUUGUCGCCUUUAGCUUUUAGUCCUUUGAAGAGAGCAGAAUGGGGAAAUGGAGAGAGAACCUGAAAGAGCCCCAAACUCGAGGACCUAUUGCUCCCCAAGAAUAACAUCUUCCAGAACUAGACAGAAAACUAGGCGUCUGGGAACCCUGAAAUCCUUGGAGGAGUAGAUCAUCAUGACCCUCUGUGUUCCUUUUGGCAAAUGACUUGCUUCCAUUGUUUGUUUGUUCAAUUGUCUGUUUGUUAAAUAAAUAAAACCC